AAUCCUUCUGCUGAUCACUCUGCUCACAGCAGGUGCUACUACAUCCCGAGUCAGACGUCAGGCUGGGUGGCAGUUUGGCAGUCUGUUCCGCUGCACCAUCCCUUGGGUUUAUUCCUUCACGGGGAACAACUACUAUGGCUGCCUCUGUGGCAUUUUCAGCAGGGACACCCAGGUGGAUAAGAGGUGCUGCCGGACUCGUGACAACUGCUAUGCUCAAGUCAAGAAGGUGAAAAGCUGCAAAUCCCUCUUAGAUGACCGCUAUGGAAGCUUCUAUACAUACUUGUGCUCCGGAAAUAAGGUCAGCUGCAGUGAGGAAAACAGUACCUGUGAGGAUUUGAUCUGCAACUGUGACCGCCAGGCUGCCAUCUGCUUCUCCAAGGAGAACGAAGGCAUUCAGUGUUAGACUUGUCACCUCAGUUACGGGUACACCAUCCCUGCCUGUCUGAUUGUGUUCACUACACACUGUGCCCUCUAAUA
Molecule: non-coding RNA, 477 nt
Organism: Peromyscus maniculatus bairdii (prairie deer mouse)
Lineage: Eukaryota; Metazoa; Chordata; Mammalia; Rodentia; Cricetidae
Source: RefSeq, a predicted model, not a curated record